RNAcentral lists this non-coding RNA (82 nucleotides) under Kibdelosporangium aridum. RNAcentral describes it as "ZTP sequence". It matches the Rfam family "ZMP/ZTP riboswitch aptamer (pfl RNA motif)". Rfam says of the family: Previously known as pfl RNA. Lineage: Bacteria; Bacillati; Actinomycetota; Actinomycetes; Pseudonocardiales; Pseudonocardiaceae. The record is from Rfam by way of RNAcentral.
AGCCCGGGUCGUGACUGGCGUUGAGGUGGAGUACCACCGGGGAGCGGCCCCACCGAGCUUGCCGCGCGCCUGGGCGAUUUCC